CUGAGAAGAUAACGAUUGGCUGUUUACUCGCUUUGGAUGCGAGAGGUUGCAGGUUCGAGUCCUGCUUCUCAGA
Molecule: transfer RNA, 73 nt
Filed under: Psychroserpens algicola
Lineage: Bacteria; Pseudomonadati; Bacteroidota; Flavobacteriia; Flavobacteriales; Flavobacteriaceae
Also listed under: 1 other name
Description: tRNA-Pro
Rfam family: tRNA
About the family: Transfer RNA (tRNA) molecules are approximately 80 nucleotides in length. Their secondary structure includes four short double-helical elements and three loops (D, anti-codon, and T loops).
Source: RNAcentral